This is a long non-coding RNA of Drosophila arizonae, 2571 nucleotides long. RefSeq lists it as uncharacterized. NCBI's taxonomy places the organism in Eukaryota, Metazoa, Arthropoda, Insecta, Diptera, Drosophilidae. The record is from RefSeq and is a predicted model, not a curated record.
UGCUGCUGUUUCUUCUUUACCUUCAGCUCCUGCGGCUCUUCCUCUGGCUUUCGCUUAACUAUCAGCUUAUGCUCCAACUAAAGUUCCUUUUAAGUUUCAGCGUAUGUUCCAGCUCCAGCUGCUGUUCCUGGCUGAGCUGCUCUUGUUGUCCUUGUAGUUGGCCUUCUUUCAGCUGACGUGUGAUUCAGCUCCUCCUGUAGUUGCAACUCCUGCUCCCACUCCUGCUGCAACUCCAGCUGGCCCAUCUAUUCUUGCUGCAAGUGCAACACUCCUGCUCCCACAUUAGCUUCAGCUCCUUCCACCUGCCAUCUGUCGCCCCUGCUCCUACAAGCGAAUUUCAUUCAGUUUGCCCACAAUAUGACGCUCCAUUGCGUUUCACUCUCUCCCCAGCCACCUAUCUCCUACUCUCUUUCUCUCUCUCUCCCUCUCUCUGUCUCUGUCUCACUCUACUAGUGUCUCGCACGUCGCACGCCAGCUGUGGCACGUGCGCCACUGUAGGAGCUGCGUUGGGGCCUCUCCGUGUUGUUCGUCGCUCUGGCGCUCGAUGCUCAGUUGAUGUUGGUUCCUCGUGCCGUGUGGUUCGCAUUGUGGCAAUCAGUUUGCAGUGGACGCGUUCGAAAUUGAGCUGUGGGAAAAUCAACUUUUCAAGAAAUUAGCUAUGGAUAUGAACAAGCGAAUUGUCAACAUGGAUUCAAUUAACACAAAUAAACGCAUGAAAAAGCAUAAUCAGUAAAAAAUACAGGAAAAAAACCGCAACAUAAAGAGCGCAUAAAUAUAUUUAUAAAGCGACAGCCCAAAAGCAAAAGUAAAAGCACAGUCAAGUCUUUGACUCUUCAGCCGAAUUGUCAACUGUAAAAUCGAAAGAGAGCAACGAAAAGAGAGUGCGCGAGCGCACUUUGCUUUUGUUUACACGCCCAUUUGUGCGUUGAAGUAGUGAUUGCAACCAGAAGUGCACAAUAAAAGCAAAUAUUUACCCGAACUAAGCAAUAAAUCAAUUGAGCAAUUAAUUAAAUAAAUUUCAACAGAAACGGUAAACUAUUAUUGAAGCGGCUUUACAGCAGCCGGAGGAAAUUCCAACAAAGAGUUUGCGCAUAUAUAAAGAGAGACAGAGCGAGUGAGAGAGAGCAAGCACAGUUGCUAUUGCACUGAGAGGGCGCAUACUGGCGGCUGGUCGAAAAUAUACGCACGAAGACAUACGAAUACACACACUCAUACAAAUAUACGUCAACAAAUUUCGUUGAGUGCUCCAAAGUCGCGUGCUUGGCUCUGUUGGCGCUGUGCCGCUGCCUUCCAGAUAGAAAUUGAGUCUCUCGCGUGACACAACGUGCGUCCAAACGAGCGGAAAGUUUUCUUUAGUGUGUGCUCUCUGUGUUAAAGUUUGCUCUGUUUUUCUUUCUUUGCUUUUGGUUGCUCAUUCGCUUGAGUAGCAUUAGCAGCAGGCGCAGGCAGAGCAGCAUUUGAGCAUUCGCCGCCUCCCCAACGAAACGGCAGUCGGUCAUUGAAAGCUAAAAAAAAAAAAUUGUUUUGCCUGUGUGGAAAUUGGCAUUGCUAACCGUGGUAAAGCUUAAGCGUCCAACUUACAAAGCAAAUAAACAUUUUAUAAAUAAACGUGCACAAUAAAUAAACAAAAGGCAAACUUUUAAGUGCGAGUGUAAAAUAUCGAUUUUUGUGAACAGCAAACGCGUCGAUGACCUCGACGACGGUGACAGCCACGGCUAAAACGGUAUAAAAGCAAAAGCUGUGCAAGCGAACGAGAGAGAGCGCGAGAGUGAGAGAGGCUUACAAGCUAACGCUUUUUGCCCAAAUCCAAUUGAGCCACGUUUUACAUAAUUGCCCAAGCGCAUAAAGCAACAACAAAGGCAACAACAAUAACAAUAAGAGCAACCGCAACCAAAGCCAAACUAGCAAAAGCACAAAUUAUAACGGCGUCCGCAAACCGAGUGCAAGUGGAAAACCUUUUUGUUGCUGGACGAAGAAGGCGAAAAAGUAGCACAACACUUCCAGAGAGCGGCCCAAGCAGCUGCUGCAGUCGAAAAUCACAGCGACACAUGCUUAGAUAUCGGCUCGUCUCAACACACUUCCUAAAGCAGCCGUAGUCAGCCCACAGGCACAAACACACACACACAAACGCGCGCUAGUGGAAUAGUGGAAGAGGGAGAGCAACAGCGUGCGAGUGUGAGAGCGAGCGAGCGAACGUACGAGCAACAACUGCAUCAACCACAACAGCACCAAGAGAGCAGUAGAGGGCGACACAGAGAGAGAGUGACAGACUGAGCACAAAGUAACUGGAAAGGCCGAUCGCAGGAUACGAAUACGAAUACAAGGCGCUGCGCUUCCAUACAAAAAGUGCGUCAGGUGUGCCGGCUGAGCUCAUUCACUUGCCGAACGUUGCAGUGCGAGGAGCCUGUUCACGGGAUUAAGUGGAAAGCGAUCGCAUUCGAGUGCUAAAUCGAUUUAAUUAAUUAUAAAGCGCUCACCGCUUGAACAACCGCAACAGUUGCAACAGCUUGCAGCAGAGGCGGCCUAAUUAAUUUGCAUCCGAACGGGCCUUAUAAUUCAGUCACAACGUAU